Molecule: ribosomal RNA, 496 nt
Filed under: uncultured bacterium
Lineage: Bacteria
Description: partial 16S ribosomal RNA
Rfam family: Bacterial small subunit ribosomal RNA
Source: RNAcentral
GAUGAACGCUGGCGGCGUGCCUAAUACAUGCAAGUCGAGCGAACAGAUGAGGAGCUUGCUCCUCUGACGUUAGCGGCGGACGGGUGAGUAACACGUGGAUAACCUACCUAUAAGACUGGGAUAACUUCGGGAAACCGGAGCUAAUACCGGAUAAUAUAUUGAACCGCAUGGUUCAAUAGUGAAAGACGGUUUUGCUGUCACUUAUAGAUGGAUCCGCGCCGCAUUAGCUAGUUGGUAAGGUAACGGCUUACCAAGGCAACGAUGCGUAGCCGACCUGAGAGGAGGAUCGCCCAUGCAGGAAAGGAGACACGGUCCAGAAACCGACGGGAGGCAGCAGCAGGGAGACUGCCGGAAGUGGCGAAAGCCAGACGGAGCAAAGACGCGGAAGUGAUGAAGGUCUUCUGAGCGUAAAACGCUGGUAGUAGGGAAGAACAGAAGUGUAAGGAACGGUGCACAUCGUGACGGUACCUAAUCAGAAAGCAACGGCUAACUACGU